RNAcentral lists this ribosomal RNA (465 nucleotides) under uncultured Anoxybacillus sp. RNAcentral describes it as "bacterial SSU rRNA". It matches the Rfam family "Bacterial small subunit ribosomal RNA", at positions 920 to 1382 of the family's 1533-position model. Lineage: Bacteria; Bacillati; Bacillota; Bacilli; Caryophanales; Anoxybacillaceae. The record is from RNAcentral.
CCCGCACAAGCGGUGGAGCAUGUGGUUUAAUUCGAGGCAACGCGAAGAACCUUACCAGGUCUUGACAUCCCCUGACCAACCCGAGAGAUCGGGCGUUCCCCUUCGGGGGACAGGGUGACAGGUGGUGCAUGGUUGUCGUCAGCUCGUGUCGUGAGAUGUUGGGUUAAGUCCCGCAACGAGCGCAACCCUCGACCUUAGUUGCCAGCAUUCAGUUGGGCACUCUAAGGUGACUGCCGGCUAAAAGUCGGAGGAAGGUGGGGAUGACGUCAAAUCAUCAUGCCCCUUAUGACCUGGGCUACACACGUGCUACAAUGGGCGGUACAAAGGGUCGCAAACCCGUAAGGGGGAGCAAAUCCACUUAAAGCCGUCCUCAGUUCGGAUUGAGGUCUGCAACUCGACCUCAUGAAGCUGGAAUCGCUAGUAAUCGCGGAUCAGCAUGCCGCGGUGAAUACGUUCCCGGGCCUU